UCCGUAGGUGAACCUGCGGAAGGAUCAUUAUUGAAUUCAAAUCAUCUGUGGCUUCGGUCCGGAUGUGCCAACAGGUAACACUGUUGGUAAUUCUAUCCAUAACACCUGUGAACUGUUGGAUGCUUGCAUCCACUUUUAUACUAAACAUUAUUGUAACAAAUGUAGUCUUAUUAUAACUAAUAAAACUUUUAACAACGGAUCUCUUGGCUCUCGCAUCGAUGAAGAACGCAGCGAAAUGCGAUAAGUAAUGUGAAUUGCAGAAUUCAGUGAAUCAUCGAAUCUUUGAACGCACCUUGCGCUCCUUGGUAUUCCGAGGAGCAUGCCUGUUUGAGUGUCAUGAAACUCUCAAACCCAAGUUUUGGAUUUCGAUCCAUGCUUGAGUUUGGAUUUGGAUGUUUGCCGGUGAUAAGCCGACUCAUCUUAAAAGUAUUAGCUAGAUCUGUCUCUAUGACUGGUUUGACUUGGCAUAAUAAGUAUUUUGCUGAGGACAUCUUCGGAUGGCCAGGACCUAGACUAUUGUCUGCUAACUAAACCAUCACUUUAAGUGCAUCUUCGGAUGUUACUCAUUGUGUAACUUUGACAUCUGGCCUCAAAUCAGGUAGGACUACCCGCUGAACUUAAGCAUAUCAAUAAGCGGAGGA
Molecule: ribosomal RNA, 641 nt
Filed under: Filobasidium globisporum
Lineage: Eukaryota; Fungi; Basidiomycota; Tremellomycetes; Filobasidiales; Filobasidiaceae
Also listed under: 1 other name
Description: eukaryotic LSU rRNA
Rfam family: 5.8S ribosomal RNA (bases 184-337)
Source: RNAcentral